RNAcentral lists this ribosomal RNA (271 nucleotides) under uncultured bacterium. Its description in RNAcentral is "partial 16S ribosomal RNA". It matches the Rfam family "Bacterial small subunit ribosomal RNA", at positions 78 to 354 of the family's 1533-position model. The record is from RNAcentral.
CUUUUGAUGGCGACCGGCGCACGGGUGAGUAACACGUAUCCAACCUGCCUCAUACUCGAGGAUAGCCUUUCGAAAGAAAGAUUAAUACCCGAUGUUAUAGUCCUACCGCAUGAUGGGAUUAUUAAAGAAUUUCGGUAUGGGAUGGGGAUGCGUUCCAUUAGUUAGUUGGCGGGGUAACGGCCCACCAAGACAACGAUGGAUAGGGGUUCUGAGAGGAAGGUCCCCCACAUUGGAACUGAGACACGGUCCAAACUCCUACGGAAGGCAGCAG